Non-coding RNA from Misgurnus anguillicaudatus (oriental weatherfish), 627 nucleotides. The record is from RefSeq and is a predicted model, not a curated record. Lineage: Eukaryota; Metazoa; Chordata; Actinopteri; Cypriniformes; Cobitidae.
GAGAGAGAGAGAGAGAGAGAGAGAGAGAGAGAGAGAGAGAGAGAGAGAGAGAGAGAGAGAGAGAGAGAGAGAGAGAGACGCACUGCCACCUCAUGGAGAAGAUCUUUUGAUUCCAGCAGCAGCCAUAUUGCAGGACAACAUUGGCCCCUGCGGACCACUCUGUGAGGGGAAUUUCGAUGAAGGGUUUCAGCACUAAAGAAAAGACCCUCAGAGACUCUCUGUGUCUCCUGUGUCAAAGCCAAGGGACAAACGAGACCUACAGGGAUGAGCUUGAUUUGAAAAAAUACUCCAGAACUGCGGAUGUCAGUAUAGAGCUGCUGUCCCAACGUGAAGAGACGGGUGAGACCCACCGGCUCGAGAUGAAGGCUUUUCUUGCAGUUUCCUUCCUGAAGGCUUGAUUAGCUGAAUCGGUUAUGAAGUUUCUGAGUUAGCUCUAAGCAGACAGCUCAAAAGCGGAAUAUGCCAACGGUAAAGGUGAAGUGGACUUCUUGUGACACCCCAUGUACGAGCAGAACAUCAUUAACAUUAUUUCACAGCUUGACUUUCAAGAAUGAAGCAUGUUUUUUUCUUGGAAGCUGAAUCUCAGCUCAACAGAACAGUCUUGAUGGUGUGCACAUUUUUACCUUG